Molecule: ribosomal RNA, 253 nt
Filed under: uncultured bacterium
Lineage: Bacteria
Description: partial 16S ribosomal RNA
Rfam family: Bacterial small subunit ribosomal RNA
Source: RNAcentral
UACGUAGGGUGCAAGCGUUAAUCGGAAUUACUGGGCGUAAAGCGUGCGCAGGCGGUUUUGUAAGUCUGAUGUGAAAUCCCCGGGCUCAACCUGGGAAUUGCAUUGGAGACUGCAAGGCUAGAAUCUGGCAGAGGGGGGUAGAAUUCCACGUGUAGCAGUGAAAUGCGUAGAGAUGAGGAGGAACACCGAUGGCGAAGGCAGCCCCCUGGGUCAAGAUUGACGCUCAUGCACGAAAGCGUGGGGAGCAAACAGG